Molecule: ribosomal RNA, 464 nt
Filed under: uncultured Geobacteraceae bacterium
Lineage: Bacteria; Pseudomonadati; Thermodesulfobacteriota; Desulfuromonadia; Geobacterales; Geobacteraceae
Description: partial 16S ribosomal RNA
Rfam family: Bacterial small subunit ribosomal RNA
Source: RNAcentral
CCUACGGGAGGCAGCAGUGGGGAAUUUUGCGCAAUGGGGGCAACCCUGACGCAGCAACGCCGCGUGAGUGAUGAAGGCCUUCGGGUCGUAAAGCUCUGUCAGAGGGGAAGAAAUGCAGGUGGUGAACAACCAUUCUGUUUGACGGUACCCUCAAAGGAAGCACCGGCUAACUCCGUGCCAGCAGCCGCGGUAAUACGGAGGGUGCGAGCGUUGUUCGGAAUUAUUGGGCGUAAAGCGCGUGUAGGCGGUUUGUUAAGUCUGAUGUAAAAGCCCCGGGCUCAACCCGGGAAGGGCAUUGGAUACUGGCAGACUUGAGGACGGGAGAGGAGAGUGAAAUUCCCAGUGUAGGAGUAAAAUCCGUAGAUAUUGGGAGGAACACCAGUGGCGAAGGCGGUUCUCUGGACGACAACUGACGCGGAGGGACGAAAGCAAGGGGAGCGAACGGGAUUAGAUACCCCGGUAGU